GUUCCUACGGGGGGCAGCAGUGAGGAAUAUUGGUCAAUGGGCGAGAGCCUGAACCAGCCAAGUCGCGUGAGGGAGUACUGCCCUAUGGGUUGUAAACCUCUUUUGUCGGGGAGCAAAAGCCGGGCGUGUCCGGCUGUGAGAGUACCCGAAGAAAAAGCAUCGGCUAACUCCGUGCCAGCAGCCGCGGUAAUACGGAGGAUGCGAGCGUUAUCCGGAUUUAUUGGGUUUAAAGGGUGCGUAGGCGGUUUGUCAAGUCAGCGGUAAAAAUUCC
This 271-nucleotide ribosomal RNA is filed under the name uncultured bacterium. RNAcentral describes it as "partial 16S ribosomal RNA". It matches the Rfam family "Bacterial small subunit ribosomal RNA", at positions 335 to 604 of the family's 1533-position model. The record is from RNAcentral.